This is a non-coding RNA of Trichonephila clavata, 73 nucleotides long. The record is from the annotation of a GenBank genome assembly. Lineage: Eukaryota; Metazoa; Arthropoda; Arachnida; Araneae; Nephilidae.
GUCCCUGUAGUACAAUGGAUAGCGCGUUGGACUUCUAAUCCAAGGAUCGUGCUUUCGAAUACCCUCUGGGAUG